GACGGGGGGGGCAAGCGUUGUUCGGAAUUACUGGGCGUAAAGGGCUCGUAGGCGGCCAACUAAGUCAGACGUGAAAUCCCUCGGCUUAACCGGGGAACUGCAUCUGAUACUGGAUGGCUUGAGAUUGGGAGAGGGAUGCGGAAUUCCAGGUGUAGCGGUGAAAUGCGUAGAUAUCCGGAGGAACACCGGUGGCGAAGGCGGCUUCCUGGACCGACACUGACGCUGAGGCGCGAAAGCUAGGGGAGCAAACGGG
Molecule: ribosomal RNA, 253 nt
Filed under: uncultured bacterium
Lineage: Bacteria
Description: partial 16S ribosomal RNA
Rfam family: Bacterial small subunit ribosomal RNA
Source: RNAcentral